UCAAUUCCUGCAUGUCCAGCGGUAGGGGC
RNAcentral lists this small RNA (29 nucleotides) under Bombyx mori (domestic silkworm). RNAcentral describes it as "ovarian small RNA-24913". Lineage: Eukaryota; Metazoa; Arthropoda; Insecta; Lepidoptera; Bombycidae. The record is from RNAcentral.